Molecule: long non-coding RNA, 201 nt
Filed under: Brassica napus (rape)
Lineage: Eukaryota; Viridiplantae; Streptophyta; Magnoliopsida; Brassicales; Brassicaceae
Description: long non-coding RNA (BNAP_LNC004238)
Source: RNAcentral
ACAAAAGUAAGAAACGAGCUGGUCAUAAAUGCCCGUUGCCAUCUUUAUCGUUAUUAAAGCAAAAACAUCGUACACUACUCACAGCCGUUAGAUUUCUUUAGGCACUUUUAAACUUGUGGCCCAGAUUAAAACACACCCAUCCAUAAGACAAAACCUCUUUAGUGUUCACAUUUGAUCUGAGUUAAAGUAACCUAACCACAC